RNAcentral lists this small RNA (473 nucleotides) under Mycosphaerellaceae sp. 4 MS-2015. Its description in RNAcentral is "eukaryotic LSU rRNA". The stretch from base 175 to 328 matches the Rfam family "5.8S ribosomal RNA". The record is from RNAcentral. Lineage: Eukaryota; Fungi; Ascomycota; Dothideomycetes; Mycosphaerellales; Mycosphaerellaceae.
UGAACCUGCGGAGGGAUCAUUACCGAGUGAGGGCCUCCGGGCCCGACCUCCAACCCUUUUGUGAACCUACCUCGUUGCUUCGGGGGCGACCCUGCCGUUCGCGCGGCGUGGGGCUCCCGGAGACCAUCUAAACACUGCGUAAUUUUGCGUCGGAGUCUUGAUUAAAUCAAACAAAACUUUCAACAACGGAUCUCUUGGUUCUGGCAUCGAUGAAGAACGCAGCGAAAUGCGAUAAGUAAUGUGAAUUGCAGAAUUCAGUGAAUCAUCGAAUCUUUGAACGCACAUUGCGCCCCCUGGUAUUCCGGGGGGCAUGCCUGUUCGAGCGUCAUUACACCACUCAAGCCUGGCUUGGUAUUGGGCGUCGCGGGUCCCCCGCGCGCCUCAAAGUCUCACCGGCUGAGCGACCCCGUCUCUAAGCGUUGUGGAAACUAUUCGCGGCGAGAGGGGGCGGCGCGGCCGUUAAACUUCCAUCA